Molecule: ribosomal RNA, 253 nt
Filed under: uncultured bacterium
Lineage: Bacteria
Description: partial 16S ribosomal RNA
Rfam family: Bacterial small subunit ribosomal RNA
Source: RNAcentral
GACAGAGGGUGCAAACGUUGUUCGGGAUUACUGGGCGUAAAGCGCGUGUAGGCGGACCCGCAAGUCGGACGUGAAAUCCCUGAGCUCAACUCAGGAACUGCAUCCGAAACUGCGGGUCUGGAGUGGUGGAGAGGGAAGCAGAAUUCCUGGUGUAGAGGUGAAAUUCGUAGAUAUCAAGCGGAACACCGGUGGCGAAGGCGGCCUUCUGGACAGUAACUGACGCUGAGACGCGAAAGCGUGGGGAGCAAACAGG